Molecule: ribosomal RNA, 493 nt
Filed under: uncultured bacterium
Lineage: Bacteria
Description: bacterial SSU rRNA
Rfam family: Bacterial small subunit ribosomal RNA
Source: RNAcentral
GAUGAACGCUAGCUACGGGCUUAACACAUGCAAGUCGAGGGGAAACGAUAGAGAAAGCUUGCUUUUUCUAGGCGUCGACCGGCGCACGGGUGAGUAACGCGUAUCCAACCUGCCCAUCACUUGGGGAUAACCUUGCGAAAGUAAGACUAAUACCCAAUGACGUCUCUAGAAGACAUCUGAAAGAGAUUAAAGAUUUAUCGGUGAUGGAUGGGGACGCGUCUGAUUAGCUUGUUGGCGGGGUAACGGCCCACCAAGGCGACGAUCAGUAGGGGUUCUGAGAGGAAGGUCCCCCCACAUUGGAACUGAGACACGGUCCAAACUCCUACGGGAGGCAGCAGUGAGGAAUAUUGGUCAAUGGACGAGAGUCUGAACCAGCCAAGUAGCGUGCAGGAUGACGGCCCUAUGGGUUGUAAACUGCUUUUAUAAGGGAAUAAAGUGAGUCUCGUGAGACUUUUUGCAUGUACCUUAUGAAUAAGGACCGGCUAAUUCCGUG